This 468-nucleotide ribosomal RNA is filed under the name uncultured bacterium. Its description in RNAcentral is "partial 16S ribosomal RNA". It matches the Rfam family "Bacterial small subunit ribosomal RNA", at positions 28 to 507 of the family's 1533-position model. The record is from RNAcentral.
GACGAACGCUGGCGGCGUGCUUAACACAUGCAAGUCGAACGGAAAGGCCCUGCUUUUGUGGUGUGCUCGAGUGGCGAACGGGUGAGUAACACGUGAGUAACCUGCCCUUGUCUUUGGGGUAACUUCAGGAAACUGGGGCUACUACCGUAUAGGAGCUCCUGCUGCAUGGUGGGGGUUGGAACGUUUCGGCUGUUGGGGAUGGACUCGCGGCUUAUCAGCUUGUUGGUGGGCUAGUGGCUUACCCAGGCUUUGACGGGUAGCCGGCCUGAGAGGGUGACCGGCGACAUUGCGACUGAGAGAGGGACCAGACUCCAACGGGGGGCAGCAGGGGGGAAUAUUGCACAACGGGCGGAAGCCGGAUGCAGAAACGCCGCGUGCGGGAUGACGGCCUUCGGGGUGUAAACAGCUUUCGCCUGUGACGAAGCGUGAGUGACGGUAAUGGGUAAAGAAGCACCGGCUAACUACGUG